UACGAAGGGGGAUAGCGGUGUUCGGCAUUACUGGGCGUAAAGCGCACGUAGGCGGACUUGUAAGUUGGGGGUGAAAUCCCGGUGCUCAAACCCGGAAUUGCCUUCAAGACUGCAAGUCUGGAGGUCAGGAGAGGCGAGCGGAAUUCCGAGUGUAGAGGUGAAAUUCGUAGAUAUUCGGAGGAACACCAGUGGCGAAGGCGGCUCGCUGGACUGAUACUGACGCUGAGGUGCGGAAGCGUGGGGAGCAAACAGG
Molecule: ribosomal RNA, 253 nt
Filed under: uncultured bacterium
Lineage: Bacteria
Description: partial 16S ribosomal RNA
Rfam family: Bacterial small subunit ribosomal RNA
Source: RNAcentral